UGGCCUGCUCACUGANUUAUUUUAAAGAGCCGCGGUAUUUUGACCGUGCAAAGGUAGCAUAAUCAUUAGUCUCUUAAUUAGAGGCUGGAAUGAAUGGCUUGACGAGAAAUUAACUGUCUCUUGAUAAUUUUUUGAAUUUAACUUUUAAGUCAAAAGGCUUAAAUUUUUCUUUAGGACGAGAAGACCCUAUAGAGCUUAAUAUUUAAAUUUUAUAUAUUUUUAUGUUAGUCUUUAUAUAUAAAGUGAAAAUAUUUUGUUGGGGUGACAUGAAAAAUUAAUAAACUUUUCAUCAUGACAUCAUUAAUUUAUGUUUUUUGAUCCAUAAUUUAUGAUCAUAAGAUUAAGUUACCUUAGGGAUAACAGCGUAAUUGUUUUUGAGAGCUCAUAUCGACAAAACAGAUUGCGACCUCGAUGUUGGAUUAAGAUUAGUUCUGGGUGCAGUAGUCCAGUAAUUAGGUCUGUUCGACCUUUAAAUUCUU
RNAcentral lists this ribosomal RNA (479 nucleotides) under Opeia obscura. RNAcentral describes it as "partial 16S ribosomal RNA". It matches the Rfam family "Bacterial large subunit ribosomal RNA", at positions 1854 to 2597 of the family's 2925-position model. The record is from RNAcentral. Lineage: Eukaryota; Metazoa; Arthropoda; Insecta; Orthoptera; Acrididae.